CAGCAGAAGAAGAAAUUAGCCAUGAGGAGCAAAAGAAAAAUAAUACAGUUGCUGUUGACAAUACAAAUAAUGGGAUUAAAGUGAAAAUAUUGAUGAAAAAGGAAGAUGCAGAAAGGCUGUUAUUGAAGUGUAAAGAAGGAGGGGUACUUGAAUUUAUGGAUGUAGCUUAAGAACUUGUACAAGUUCCUUCUACUAGUGAUAGGUUUCUGUCUUCUUCUAGUAACAUUGGCGGAGCCAUCUUAGUCUAAGGAGUGUCGGUCUUCGUCAAAAAUUAUACAAUGGGUAAUUAGGUCAAUUUUUCUUAUGCGUAUAUAUGUUAUAUGUUGAAUCCACUUAAUUUUUUUAUUUGAUUACUUCAGUGGCGGAGCCAAAAUUUCACUAAGGGUAUCAAAGUAUAAGAAUUUUAAAUACACUAUAAAAUCAAGGAAAGUCAAUGUAUAGUAAAUAUACGUAAAAUAAAAAAACAUAUCUAGCAAUACAGUGUAAUUUUUCGGCGAAUGGAUAUCGAUACACCCCUCGAUUGAAUGUGGCUCUGCCACUGGCUUACUUCCAUAUAUUAAUUUUAACAAUCCUCAAUUAGUAAAAUUUCUAGUUCCGCAACUGUUUACUUUUCAUAGAGGCUAUUCGUGA
This 630-nucleotide long non-coding RNA is filed under the name Nicotiana tabacum (common tobacco). RNAcentral describes it as "long non-coding RNA (NTAB_LNC005467)". Lineage: Eukaryota; Viridiplantae; Streptophyta; Magnoliopsida; Solanales; Solanaceae. The record is from RNAcentral.